UACGGAGGGUGCAAGCGUUGUCCGGAUUUAUUGGGUUUAAAGGGUGCGCAGGCGGUUUUGUAAGCCAGAUGUGAAAUCCCCGGGCUCAACCUGGGAAUGGCAUUUGGGACUGCAAGGCUAGAGUGUGGCAGAGGAGACUGGAAUUCACGGUGUAGCAGUGAAAUGCGUAGAUAUCGUGAGGAAGACCAGUGGCGAAGGCGGGUCUCUGGACAGUUCCUGACGCUGAGGCGCGAAGGCCAGGGGAGCAAACGGG
RNAcentral lists this ribosomal RNA (253 nucleotides) under uncultured bacterium. Its description in RNAcentral is "partial 16S ribosomal RNA". It matches the Rfam family "Bacterial small subunit ribosomal RNA", at positions 524 to 776 of the family's 1533-position model. The record is from RNAcentral.